GCUGUACAGAAUUGAGAUAUUUAGGUUUACAGUGGUGUUGGAAAAUUACAGAUGUUGGUUUAGAUUUCAUUGUUACCAAUUGUCAUAAUCUGAGAGGAAUAGAUUUACUUGGAUUAUAUCGAAUAACUGGAACUGCUCUUUUAAAAGUGCCUUCAAAUAUGAAGCAUUUAGGAUAUUUAAAUUUAGAACAAUGUAAUGAGAUAAUUGAUUCUCUCCUUUGCAAAUUGAAAAGAGAGGUUCCUGAACUUGUAAUAAAAGAUUAUUAUGGAGAAUUUGUUAUCCCAUCUGCUGAUUCGGAUGAUGAAAAUGAAGAAAAAGAGAAUGAGAAAAAUUAAUGAUCUACUUCAAUCUCUUUAUCAAACUUGAAUAACAAUUUCGACAACAGAAUAAAAUUUAUAUUCUGGUUAUCUACUGUUUAAAUUAUGAAAAUUAUUUGUAGAUAUUAAAAUAUUAUUGAAGGAUAUUGCAUAUCUUUCCAUUAUGAGUGUUUAUAUGGUAAAAUGUAAUAUAAAAUAUUAUAGACAAAUAUGUUGAAAAUGUAAUGUAAAUUUUAAAAAUUUUAUAUAAAAUUUAUUUUUCAUUAUUAUAUUCUUCAGUUGCAUUAUAUAAUAAUUUCAAUUGUUCAAAACAUUUUGUCCUACGUUGCUCAAAAAUAAACAGAUAUUUAAGUGUAAUUCAACAUUCCUUGUUUUCCAUUAUCCUUUGGUCUUUCUUAAAAUAUUGAAGAUUGCUCUGCUAGCAUUUAAGCUAUUGAAUUUUGAGACUUUAAUGAUAAUUCUUGUAUUUUUUAAGUAAUUAUAUUUUGCUUCUUUUAUUAAAGAGCAUAAUAAGCAUAACAGAGGAAGUUAAUUUCAAUAAAAUUUGUAAAUAUAUUAUAUAAUUAUAUUUAACAUUUUUGACACAUUUAGAUAUUUUAUUCUGAUGAUUAAGAUCCUUUGAGUGGGUUAACCUGACCAUUCAUUAUCUGUGAAAACAUGAAUCCACAUAUAAUAAUUUAGUAUACAAAAUCCUACUGUAAUAUGCUUCUAUAAUAUUUUAGUUAAAAUAUUUUUAUAUUAAUAAUUGAUUCAUUUAAUACUAAAAGUCAAUGUCAUUAAAACCGUCUGAACAGUUUUAAUGACAAUUCUGGCAAUUAACUUCUAAUAUUUUUAAAAUGAAUUUUUAAGUAGAAAAGAGUGGUUUAAUAAUAUCUAUUAUAAUUAUUAUAUUAUUGUUAUAUUAUCUAUUAUAAAUAUUGUUUGUUUCUUAGUUAUAUAAACUAUU
Long non-coding RNA from Centruroides sculpturatus (bark scorpion), 1263 nucleotides. RefSeq lists it as uncharacterized. The transcript has 3 exons. The record is from RefSeq and is a predicted model, not a curated record. Lineage: Eukaryota; Metazoa; Arthropoda; Arachnida; Scorpiones; Buthidae.